GCGCAACAACUUCCACCUGGCUUACCUUUUCAGUCUUGUGUCAUUGCUUGUAUCGCAUUGAAUGCAUGGUGGGUUUCUUGUGUUGCAUGCCUAAUUGAUGGUAUCAUUUCAAGAAUUGAUGUCCCUUUUCAUCUUGUGUCGCACAUGCGAUGUGAGAUGAACCUUGAAGUAGCCUUUGUGAUCCACUCUUUCGAUGUACACGCAUUGAUUUUGUGGCCCACUGUGUGUUGCUUGGUCUCAUGGAUAUGGAACCUGGUGUGGGCAUGGGAUCUUUACUAGUUCCUUGUUUGCCCUGGUUUAGCUUUUCUAAUACGAUUGUUUAUCACAUUUUAUAAUGUGGUAGGCUAUAUCGGAUAUGAGUGCUACCUGGUUGAUCCUGCC
RNAcentral lists this unclassified non-coding RNA (381 nucleotides) under Leontopodium cf. stracheyi Dickore 10529. RNAcentral describes it as "partial contains external transcribed spacer and 18S ribosomal RNA". Lineage: Eukaryota; Viridiplantae; Streptophyta; Magnoliopsida; Asterales; Asteraceae. The record is from RNAcentral.